AACGAACGCUGGCGGCAGGCCUAACACAUGCAAGUCGAACGCCGUAGCAAUACGGAGUGGCAGACGGGUGAGUAACGCGUGGGAACGUGCCCUUCGGUUCGGAAUAAUCCAGGGAAACUUGGACUAAUACCGGAUACGUGCGAGAGCAGAAAGAUUUAUCGCCGAAGGAUCGGCCCGCGUCCGAUUAGCUAGUUGGUGAGGUAACGGCUC
This 210-nucleotide ribosomal RNA is filed under the name uncultured bacterium. RNAcentral describes it as "partial 16S ribosomal RNA". It matches the Rfam family "Bacterial small subunit ribosomal RNA", at positions 29 to 266 of the family's 1533-position model. The record is from RNAcentral.